Molecule: ribosomal RNA, 157 nt
Filed under: uncultured Burkholderia sp.
Lineage: Bacteria; Pseudomonadati; Pseudomonadota; Betaproteobacteria; Burkholderiales; Burkholderiaceae
Description: partial 16S ribosomal RNA
Rfam family: Bacterial small subunit ribosomal RNA
Source: RNAcentral
ACUCCUACGGGAGGCAGCAGUGGGGAAUUUUGGACAAUGGGCGAAAGCCUGAUCCAGCAAUGCCGCGUGUGUGAAGAAGGCCUUCGGGUUGUAAAGCACUUUUGUCCGGAAAGAAAUCCCUGGUGUGUAAUACAGUGCGGGGGAUGACGUACCGAAG